RNAcentral lists this ribosomal RNA (184 nucleotides) under Caldisphaera sp. Its description in RNAcentral is "partial 23S ribosomal RNA". It matches the Rfam family "Archaeal large subunit ribosomal RNA", at positions 2773 to 2928 of the family's 2987-position model. The record is from RNAcentral. Lineage: Archaea; Thermoproteati; Thermoproteota; Thermoprotei; Acidilobales; Acidilobaceae.
CGGCCUCUAGUGUACCGGUUGUCCUGGUGGGCAACGCCGGGCAGCCACGCCGUAAGGGGUUAUCGCUGAAAGCAUCUAAGCGAGAACCCUGACCCGAAAAGAGACGGCCAUCUGCCUUCCAGCGCAAGCUGGAGGACAGCGAGGGCUCCCGUAAAAUACGGGUUUGAUGGGGUGGGGGUGUAAG